UACAGAGGUCUCAACCGUUGUUCGGAUUCAUUGGGCGUAAAGCGUGCGCAGGCGGUUCGACAAGUCUGUUGUGAAAGCCCUGGGCUCAACCUGGGAACUGCAGUGGAUACUGGCGAGCUAGAGUACGGUAGAGGAAGGUGGAAUUCCCGGUGUAGCGGUGAAAUGCGUAGAGAUCGGGAGGAACACCAGUGGCGAAGGCGGCCUUCUGGACCAGUACUGACGCUGAGGCACGAAAGCGUGGGGAGCAAACAGG
This 253-nucleotide ribosomal RNA is filed under the name uncultured bacterium. RNAcentral's name for it is "partial 16S ribosomal RNA". It matches the Rfam family "Bacterial small subunit ribosomal RNA", at positions 524 to 776 of the family's 1533-position model. The record is from RNAcentral.